GAGUGAAAAAGAACCUGAAACCGUGUACGUACAAGCAGUGGGAGCCCCACCACUAAGCCAGUGGUGAACUCCACAUACGCAUCCUUUGCUGAGGAUACGGUUAACGGAGCGAAAGCGACGUUCAACCUCAAAAGAAGCAGAGGGGGCUUAGUGGUGGGGUGACUGCGUACCUUUUGUAUAAUGGGUCAGCGACUUAUAUUCUGUAGCAAGGUUAACCGAAUAGGGGAGCCGGAGGGAAACCGAGUCUUAAUUGGGCGUUAAGUUGCAGGGUAUAGACCCGAAACCCGGUGAUCUAGCCAUGGGCAGGUUGAAGGUUGGGUAACACUAACUGGAGGACCGAACCGACUAAUGUUGAAAAAUUAGCGGAUGACCUGUGGCUGGGGGUGAAAGGCCAAUCAAACCGGGAGAUAGCUGGUUCUCCCCGAAAGCUAUUUAGGUAGCGCCUCGUGAAUUCAUCUCCGGGGGUAGAGCACUGUUUCGGCUAGGGGGCCAUCCCGGCUUACCAACCCGAUGCAAACUGCGAAUACCGGAGAAUGUUAUCACGGGAGACACACGGCGGGUGCUAACGUCCGUCGUGAAGAGGGAAACAACCCAGACCGCCAGCUAAGGUCCCAAAGUCAUGGUUAAGUGGGAAACGAUGUGGGAAGGCCCAGACAGCCAGGAUGUUGGCUUAGAAGCAGCCAUCAUUUAAAGAAAGCGUAAUAGCUCACUGGUCGAGUCGGCCUGCGCGGAAGAUGUAACGGGGCUAAACCAUGCAC
This 758-nucleotide ribosomal RNA is filed under the name Salmonella enterica subsp. enterica serovar Give. RNAcentral describes it as "partial 23S ribosomal RNA". It matches the Rfam family "Bacterial large subunit ribosomal RNA", at positions 536 to 1194 of the family's 2925-position model. The record is from RNAcentral. Lineage: Bacteria; Pseudomonadati; Pseudomonadota; Gammaproteobacteria; Enterobacterales; Enterobacteriaceae.